Molecule: ribosomal RNA, 434 nt
Filed under: uncultured Oscillospiraceae bacterium
Lineage: Bacteria; Bacillati; Bacillota; Clostridia; Eubacteriales; Oscillospiraceae
Description: partial 16S ribosomal RNA
Rfam family: Bacterial small subunit ribosomal RNA
Source: RNAcentral
ACGGAAGGCAGCAGUGGGGAAUAUUGCACAAUGGGCGAAAGCCUGAUGCAGCAACGCCGCGUGAGGGAUGAAGGUUUUCGGAUUGUAAACCUCUGUCUUCGGUGAAGAUAAUGACAUUAGCCGAGGAGGAAGCCACGGCUAACUACGUGCCAGCAGCCGCGGUAAUACGUAGGUGGCAAGCGUUGUCCGGAUUUACUGGGUGUAAAGGGAGCGCAGGCGGGAAAGCAAGUCAGCGGUGAAAUGCAUAGGCUUAACCUAUGAACUGCCGUUGAAACUGUUUUUCUUGAGUGGAGUAGAGGCAAGCGGAAUUCCGAGUGUAGCGGUGAAAUGCGUAGAUAUUCGGAGGAACACCAGUGGCGAAGGCGGCUUGCUGGGCUCUAACUGACGCUGAGGCUCGAAAGUGUGGGGAGCAAACAGGAUUAGAUACCCUGGUA